CUGAUGAGUGUGUCAUGGGUGGACGAUACCAAAACGGCCCGCUCUGAAAAGACAAUUGCUCUUUACAGGGGACACAUAAGUAUCAG
Molecule: non-coding RNA, 86 nt
Filed under: unclassified sequences
Source: RNAcentral